Molecule: ribosomal RNA, 515 nt
Filed under: uncultured bacterium
Lineage: Bacteria
Description: partial 16S ribosomal RNA
Rfam family: Bacterial small subunit ribosomal RNA
Source: RNAcentral
GACGAACGCUGGCGGCGUGCCUAAUACAUGCAAGUCGAGCGAAUGGAUUAAGAGCUUGCUCUUAUGAAGUUAGCGGCGGACGGGUGAGUAACACGUGGGUAACCUGCCCAUAAGACUGGGAUAACUCCGGGAAACCGGGGCUAAUACCGGAUAACAUUUUGAACCGCAUGGUUCGAAAUUGAAAGGCGGCUUCGGCUGUCACUUAUGGAUGGACCCGCGUCGCAUUGGCUAGUUGGUGAGGUAACGGCUCACCAAGGCAACGAUGCGUAGCCGACCUGGGAGGGUGAUCGGCCACACUGGGACUGAGGCACGGCCCAGACUCCUACGGGAGGCAGCAGUAGGGAAUCUUCCGCAAUGGACGAAAGUCUGACGGAGCAACGCCGCGUGAGUGAUGAAGGCUUUCGGGUCGUAAAACUCUGUUGUUAGGGAAGAACAAGUGCUAGUUGAAUAAGCUGGCACCUUGACGGUACCUAACCAGAAAGCCACGGCUAACUACGUGCCAGCCGCCGCAGUAA